UUAAGCGACUAAGCGUACACGGUGGAUGCCCUGGCAGUCAGAGGCGAUGAAGGACGUGCUAAUCUGCGAUAAGCGUCGGUAAGGUGAUAUGAACCGUUAUAACCGGCGAUUUCCGAAUGGGGAAACCCAGUGUGAUUCGUCACACUAUCAUUAACUGAAUCCAUAGGUUAAUGAGGCGAACCGGGGGAACUGAAACAUCUAAGUACCCCGAGGAAAAGAAAUCAACCGAGAUUCCCCCAGUAGCGGCGAGCGAACGGGGAGCAGCCCAGAGUCUGAAUCAGCUUGUGUGUUAGUGGAACGGUCUGGAAAGUCCGACGGUACAGGGUGAUAGUCCCGUACACCAAAAUGCACAGGUUGUGAACUCGAAGAGUAGGGCGGGACACGUGGUAUCCUGUCUGAAUAUGGGGGGACCAUCCUCCAAGGCUAAAUACUCCUGACUGACCGAUAGUGAACCAGUACCGUGAGGGAAAGGCGAAAAGAACCCCGGCGAGGGGAGUGAAAAAGAACCUGAAACCGUGUACGUACAAGCAGUGGGAGCACCCUUUAGGGUGUGACUGCGUACCUUUUGUAUAAUGGGUCAGCGACUUAUAUUCUGUAGCAAGGUUAACCGAAUAGGGGAGCCGAAGGGAAACCGAGUCUUAACUGGGCGUUAAGUUGCAGGGUAUAGACCCGAAACCCGGUGAUCUAGCCAUGGGCAGGUUGAAGGUUGGGUAACACUAACUGGAGGACCGAACCGACUAAUGUUGAAAAAUUAGCGGAUGACUUGUGGCUGGGGGUGAAAGGCCAAUCAAACCGGGAGAUAGCUGGUUCUCCCCGAAAGCUAUUUAGGUAGCGCCUCGUGAACUCAUCUUCGGGGGUAGAGCACUGUUUCGGCUAGGGGGUCAUCCCGACUUACCAACCCGAUGCAAACUACGAAUACCGAAGAAUGUUAUCACGGGAGACACACGGCGGGUGCUAACGUCCGUCGUGAAGAGGGAAACAACCCAGACCGCCAGCUAAGGUCCCAAAGUCAUGGUUAAGUGGGAAACGAUGUGGGAAGGCCCAGACAGCCAGGAUGUUGGCUUAGAAGCAGCCAUCAUUUAAAGAAAGCGUAAUAGCUCACUGGUCGAGUCGGCCUGCGCGGAAGAUGUAACGGGGCUAAACCAUGCACCGAAGCUGCGGCAGCGACGCUGAUGCGUUGUUGGGUAGGGGAGCGUUCUGUAAGCCUGCGAAGGUGUGCUGUGAGGCAUGCUGGAGGUAUCAGAAGUGCGAAUGCUGACAUAAGUAACGAUAAAGCGGGUGAAAAGCCCGCUCGCCGGAAGACCAAGGGUUCCUGUCCAACGUUAAUCGGGGCAGGGUGAGUCGACCCCUAAGGCGAGGCCGAAAGGCGUAGUCGAUGGGAAACAGGUUAAUAUUCCUGUACUUGGUGUUACUGCGAAGGGGGGACGGAGAAGGCUAUGUUAGCCGGGCGACGGUUGUCCCGGUUUAAGCAUGUAGGCGGAGGUUCCAGGUAAAUCCGGUACCUUAUUAACGCUGAGGUGUGAUGACGAGGCACUACGGUGCUGAAGUAACAAAUGCCCUGCUUCCAGGAAAAGCCUCUAAGCAUCAGGUAACAUUGAAUCGUACCCCAAACCGACACAGGUGGUCAGGUAGAGAAUACCAAGGCGCUUGAGAGAACUCGGGUGAAGGAACUAGGCAAAAUGGUGCCGUAACUUCGGGAGAAGGCACGCUGAUAUGUAGGUGAAGUCCCUCGCGGAUGGAGCUGAAAUCAGUCGAAGAUACCAGCUGGCUGCAACUGUUUAUUAAAAACACAGCACUGUGCAAACACGAAAGUGGACGUAUACGGUGUGACGCCUGCCCGGUGCCGGAAGGUUAAUUGAUGGGGUUAUCCGUAAGGAGAAGCUCUUGAUCGAAGCCCCGGUAAACGGCGGCCGUAACUAUAACGGUCCUAAGGUAGCGAAAUUCCUUGUCGGGUAAGUUCCGACCUGCACGAAUGGCGUAAUGAUGGCCAGGCUGUCUCCACCCGAGACUCAGUGAAAUUGAACUCGCUGUGAAGAUGCAGUGUACCCGCGGCAAGACGGAAAGACCCCGUGAACCUUUACUAUAGCUUGACACUGAACAUUGAGCCUUGAUGUGUAGGAUAGGUGGGAGGCUUUGAAGCGUGGACGCCAGUCUGCGUGGAGCCAACCUUGAAAUACCACCCUUUAAUGUUUGAUGUUCUAACGUUGACCCGUAAUCCGGGUUGCGGACAGUGUCUGGUGGGUAGUUUGACUGGGGCGGUCUCCUCCCAAAGAGUAACGGAGGAGCACGAAGGUUAGCUAAUCCUGGUCGGACAUCAGGAGGUUAGUGCAAUGGCAUAAGCCAGCUUGACUGCGAGCGUGACGGCGCGAGCAGGUGCGAAAGCAGGUCAUAGUGAUCCGGUGGUUCUGAAUGGAAGGGCCAUCGCUCAACGGAUAAAAGGUACUCCGGGGAUAACAGGCUGAUACCGCCCAAGAGUUCAUAUCGACGGCGGUGUUUGGCACCUCGAUGUCGGCUCAUCACAUCCUGGGGCUGAAGUAGGUCCCAAGGGUAUGGCUGUUCGCCAUUUAAAGUGGUACGCGAGCUGGGUUUAGAACGUCGUGAGACAGUUCGGUCCCUAUCUGCCGUGGGCGCUGGAGAAUUGAGGGGGGCUGCUCCUAGUACGAGAGGACCGGAGUGGACGCAUCACUGGUGUUCGGGUUGUCAUGCCAAUGGCACUGCCCGGUAGCUAAAUGCGGAAGAGAUAAGUGCUGAAAGCAUCUAAGCACGAAACUUGCCCCGAGAUGAGUUCUCCCUGACUCCUUGAGAGUCCUGAAGGAACGUUAAAGACGAUGACGUUGAUAGGUCGGGUGUGUAAGCGUAGCGAUACGUUGAGCUAACCGAUACUAAUGAACCGUGAGGCUUAACCUU
This 2907-nucleotide ribosomal RNA is filed under the name human gut metagenome. Its description in RNAcentral is "bacterial LSU rRNA". It matches the Rfam family "Bacterial large subunit ribosomal RNA". The record is from RNAcentral.